Molecule: transfer RNA, 93 nt
Filed under: Metapseudomonas otitidis
Lineage: Bacteria; Pseudomonadati; Pseudomonadota; Gammaproteobacteria; Pseudomonadales; Pseudomonadaceae
Description: Pseudomonas otitidis tRNA-Leu
Source: RNAcentral
GCACGCCGUAGCCGGCGGACAGGGCGAUGGCCAUGCGCAGGGCAUGGCGGAACACCACCGAGGUGGGGGUGAAGUUCUGCUUCAGGCGCUCCC